CGGCGCCGCCAUCGUGCCUCCCGUUAAAGCUUUGAAACCCCAGAAUCCUGUUCUCUGGAAGGUUACCAGGUGGCGGCUGACAAUCUCUUAAGUCGCGACUGAGGCUGCGCACGGGUCACUAGGGAUGGGAAGAGCUUUUACCACCGUGAGGGUGUAUGGUAGGGCGAUUGUAGGUUAAAGGCGCCGAUCCAGGAUAAAAGGGAAUGGUCAGUGUGAGAAACAGUCAAGUAUGUCUAGUAUGGUGACCGGGGACUACGGUGGCCUAACUGRAUCAGUUAUGGGUACCUGUAAGGGUCAAUGUCGAAGGGACUGAGGGGUGCUGUGAUUGGGUUCCGAGUCUCUUGGGGGGGAGCCGUAGUGGGGGAUGGAGGUUUGUAGGAGUCAGUGUCAUGGGCUCUGUGAAGAUGUUCUGCGAAUGUAUUGGAAUUAAUAAACGAAGGUUCUUUGAAGUGUCUUGAUUGGCAGGAUGCGUGUGUUCUUUCUGGGAAAAAUAAUGACAUGUCCAUCUGUGACAGCAUCUCACAGUAUGCCUGGUUUCUUACUUGGACGCAACCAAGAUGGGUGUGACCGCGCCUGUGGUUAGACAACAAAGAAUUUACUGAGUUCCCAGGUGUCCUGCAGAUGUUUGGAUCCUGCCAUCUUGCUGGACAGUAGGGCUAUCCAGCUCCUGCCAGCCCUCAGGGCCACAGAAAUUCAUCCACCUCUGCAGAAGACCCCACCAGUGUCUGCAGCUAAGGGUGAGUGAAUGCUGUGAGAUGAAACUGUCAGGGGUUGGC
Molecule: long non-coding RNA, 776 nt
Filed under: Urocitellus parryii (Arctic ground squirrel)
Lineage: Eukaryota; Metazoa; Chordata; Mammalia; Rodentia; Sciuridae
Description: lncRNA (ENSUPAG00010021296.1)
Source: RNAcentral